UGAAGAACCUACUAUCAUUAUCUGAAUACAUAGGAUAAUGAGGCAAACCGGGAGAACUGAAACAUCUAAGUACCCCGAGGAAAAGAAAUCAACCGAGAUUUUGUUAGUAGCGGCGAGCGAACGCGAAAGAGCCAGUUAGUGAUAGCAAGUUUGUUAGGAGAAUGCUCUGGGAAGGGCAAUCGUAGAGGGUGAUAAUCCCGUAUCCGAAAACAUCCUUGUGGUACUAGGCUAACAACAAGUAGGGCGGGACACGUGAUAUCCUGUUUGAAGAUGGGGGGACCAUCCUCCAAGGCUAAAUACUCCUGAUUGACCGAUAG
RNAcentral lists this ribosomal RNA (317 nucleotides) under Bibersteinia trehalosi. Its description in RNAcentral is "partial 23S ribosomal RNA". It matches the Rfam family "Bacterial large subunit ribosomal RNA", at positions 137 to 490 of the family's 2925-position model. The record is from RNAcentral. Lineage: Bacteria; Pseudomonadati; Pseudomonadota; Gammaproteobacteria; Pasteurellales; Pasteurellaceae.